RNA transcript from Calidris pugnax (ruff), 2422 nucleotides. It is a transcript of the gene named hyaluronan binding protein 2, with no coding region annotated. Lineage: Eukaryota; Metazoa; Chordata; Aves; Charadriiformes; Scolopacidae. The record is from RefSeq and is a predicted model, not a curated record. The transcript has 15 exons.
AUGAUUGUGGCUCAUCUGAAAAAAACGUAGGCAAGAAGAAAAAGCUAAUUUCAAGAAAAAAAGAGUGUAAGGAUGGUUAACAGUGCUUCGACCCUUCAGGUUCUUCCUCUGCUCAUUCUCCUAGGGAACACAUAUUUGUGCGCUUCCCAUUUCUUCUUCCUGGCUGACCUGCUGCAUGAUGAGGCUGAUGACUACGAGUACUACGACGAGUACACGCAACCGGAGCAGGACCCCAUCCUCCAGCAGCAGCCCUCAGAGGACCCUGACUGGUUUGAGGCAUUUUUUGGCUACAGCGAUAGCAGGAAAGCAGACUCGUGCUCCUCCAACCCCUGCAAGAACAAUGGAAGGUGCGAAAACAAAGGAAACGGCUUCAGCUGUCUCUGCCCCGAGCCCUACGCCGGGACUGCCUGCGAGGAAGUGAAGGACAUGUGUCUGGAGAAGAGGUGCAACAGGGGAGACUGCCUGAUUACAUUAACCCCACCAUAUUUCCAGUGCAGCUGCAAUCACCCCUACAAACUACCUGACUGCCAUAGAGCAUCUUCACCCUGCAGACCAAACCCGUGCAAAAAUGGAGGCACCUGCAUACGGCACAGAAUCAGAUCAAAAUUCACCUGCGAGUGCCCCAAACCUUUCAGAGGGAGAUUCUGUGAGAUUGGACCAGACGAUUGUUAUGAGGAGGACUCCUCUACGUACAGAGGAAGAGUGAACCAGGCAGUGAAUGGCAAGACCUGUCUGCACUGGAAUUCCCACGUUCUCUUGAACCACCCCAUUAAUGCCUUUAUGGAGGACGCUGACUCUUAUGGCAUCGGUGAACAUAACUUCUGCAGGAAUCCUGAUGAGGAUGAAAAGCCCUGGUGCUACAUCAGAAAAAAUCACAAAGUGGAAUGGGACUUCUGUGACGUUUCACCCUGCUCAGGAACAGCUGGAGAGAGCCCAUGGCCAACAGACAGUGCAACGCACCCACCUGGAUCAGAUGACAUGUUCCAAACAUGUGGACAACCCGAAAUUCAAACACUCAAGAGAAUCUAUGGUGGAGCUAAGACUACAGCUGGCAAACAUCCCUGGAUGGCAUCUCUGCAGAUAAAGACUUCAAGAAGGAGCAGGCAUUUCUGUGGAGGAGUGCUAAUUAAAGCAUGCUGGGUUCUUACUGCUGCACACUGCAUUGAACAACCAGCAGAAAAUCUCCAAGUAGCCCUUGGAAAGCAAGACCUCAAGAAGAGAGAGCAUCAAGAGCAAAUAUUUGAUGUGGAGAAGAUCAUCGUCCACUACAGAUAUAAAGAGAAGGGCGGUGUCCCACACAAUGACAUUGCACUGCUGAAGCUGAAGCCAGUUGAUGGUCACUGUGCCAUGGAAACAAAGUAUGUGAAAACAGCGUGUCUGCCUGACUCCUUCUUUCCCAUUGGGACUGACUGCUUCAUCUCGGGAUGGGGCACGACCGAAACAGAUGAUCUGUCCCGUCAGCUGUUGGACGCCAACGUCAAGCUGAUCUCGCAAACGAAGUGCAAUGCAGCCAGGGCAUAUGAUGGCCAACUGGAUGAAAGCAUGUUUUGUGCAGGAAAUCUUCGGAAACACGGAGUUGAUUCUUGUCAGGGAGACUCUGGAGGCCCACUAACUUGUGUGGAAAACGGUUCUUACUACGUCUACGGCCUCGUGAGCUGGGGUGAAGAGUGCGGGUUAAAAAACAAGCCAGGAGUUUAUACUCAGGUGACAGCAUUUCUCAGCUGGAUUAAAUCCAAAAUUCGAUCUGAGUGAAGGUCCCUUCAUUAGGAGACAGCUUUGGAAUGACAAAUGGUCAAUGGUGCCAAUAAUCCAGGAACAUAAAAAUCUACAAAGAUUACAAAAUUUCUGAAGCAUCAGGGUUGACUGUGUCCUGCUGAGAUCCUUCCAUCUCCAAUUGGUCCUGUAAAAUCAAAACCAACUGUAUUGUGAGCACAGCCAGUGGACAGAGAAAGUUUUAACAAUUAUUCUAUAAAAAUAUUUGCAUAUUAAAAAUUACCUCAACUGGCAAACAAAUGAGCAAAAUCUGAAUCACUGCCCUGCACUGAGCUAAUAUCUACAACGGAAAAGCGGAGCCAUUCAUCUGUUAGAUACUACACACAUUGAAGGACUGAAUUUGCUCAACUCCUAAUUUCUAGUUUGAGGACUAAAUAAAGAGCAAACCAGUAAACACCUGAGUUCCAGGUGGAUUGCACACCUGUAGAUUUCCCUGGGACCAUCAGAUCAUUAUCAUAUGUAGGACUUAAGAAGAUAUUGCCUGCAGUCCCCACUGCCUGCAUUCCUCAAUCACAGUCAUAAUUUAUUUCCUGAAUAACUUUUCAGAUGGGAACAUAAAUCAUGGGUAUGUUCUGUUUUUCUUGGGCUGGCUUAUUGUUUGACUUGUUGCCAAAGUUAAACAUUAAAUGAAACAAGUACUUGAAGUGCA